This 520-nucleotide ribosomal RNA is filed under the name uncultured bacterium. RNAcentral describes it as "bacterial SSU rRNA". It matches the Rfam family "Bacterial small subunit ribosomal RNA", at positions 8 to 525 of the family's 1533-position model. The record is from RNAcentral.
AGAGUUUGAUCAUGGCUCAGAUUGAACGCUGGCGGCAUACUUUACACAUGCAAGUCGAACGGUAACAGGCCUUCGGGCGCUGACGAGUGGCGAACGGGUGAGUAAUGCAUCGGAACGUGCCCAGUCAUGGGGGAUAACUACGCGAAAGCGUAGCUAAUACCGCAUACGCCCUGAGGGGGAAAGUGGGGGAUCUUCGGACCUCACGUGAUUGGAGCGGCCGAUGUCAGAUUAGCUAGUUGGUGAGGUAAAGGCUCACCAAGGCGACGAUCUGUAGCGGGUCUGAGAGGAUGAUCCGCCACACUGGGACUGAGACACGGCCCAGACUCCUACGGGAGGCAGCAGUGGGGAAUUUUGGACAAUGGGCGCAAGCCUGAUCCAGCCAUGCCGCGUGAGUGAAGAAGGCCUUCGGGUUGUAAAGCUCUUUCGCAAGGGAAGAAAACGUGUGGGCUAAUAUCCUGCGCGGAUGACGGUACCUUGACAAGAAGCACCGGCUAACUACGUGCCAGCAGCCGCGGUAAUA